UCCUGAACAUGUGUUUGCCUUUGUGUUAGAGAAACAGCAGGGAGCUAGCUAACACUGCUAAGAACUCUGCAAUGGUUUCAAGCAUGGGGAAAAUAUAUUAUGAUGCAACUCUUAUAGGGUUAACACAACAAGAAACAAAUGUCCCUCCUUAGAUCAUUUUACCUGUGAUAACAAGAAGAGUGCAUAUGGAGGGUUGACUGAUUUCAGCCAGGUGAAUACCAAUGGAGCACACAGCCUUCCAUGUUGAGUAAGAGGCAUGUUUUGCAGUGUAUUUUUUAAGAUGCCACAUCAGUGAUACAUGCAAAAGCAGCUUGAUUUCUCAAACCUAGUGACUUCCAUUGGAAACUGGGUGUCCAUCUGCAUUUACACGCCUUUCAAAAGGAUAAUCCAGCUCUCUUCAGUGGCACUGCAGAGGCAUAGCCCUUUUUGCACCUCUGCUCCCUGCCCAUGCAUGUCAUUCCCCCAAGCCCCCUUGCUGCUUUCACCCAAAUAUAAAUAAAAAGGAAAAUCUGCUUCAUUACAUUUGCUAGCAUUAAUUGAUGUUUAAAAAAGUCUGUUAAAAAUAAAGCCCAGCAGUGACAUUUUUCUUUGCUAAAGCACGAUAGCAGCACAUUACAAACAUUACAAAAAGGUCCCCUGACAGGAUUGUGAAGUUCCACUCUGGCAGUAAAAAGCAUCUACUGUAUAUUCCCUGAUUUUUUAUUUUAUUUUAUUAUUUAUUUAUUUAUUUAUUAAUGCAUGACAGGUCACAAACACAGAUAAAGCUCCCUGUCUUAGCAGCAGGGCUGCAAUAUUGAAUGAGGGAACUGGAUGGACGCAGUGUAUUUUUAGCAUUUGUUUUACCCCGGUCAAAUAAGUGUUCCUAUUUACUGGUGGCAAUGACGCUCACAGCUAUUCAAUCCCAGCUUGACAUUUUCCCUAUGGCUGCACCUCUCCUGCUUUUGCAUGAGUUGGGUGGUUCUGAAGGAUGCAACACUUCAUGCCCAGAGGUCCUUAUGACAUUUUAGAACAAUGCAUUAAUCAGGCUGCUGGUCUCCUGAGGUACAACCAGAGCAGCAGAAAACUAAGGAACCACAGAACCCAGCCCACUCACCCAUUCUCCAAGAAAUCUCUCCCUGUGCCAGCUGACAUACUGGUUUCUGGGAAAACAGUCUCAAGCCAAGUAAAAGACUGCAUUGCUUUCAGGGAAGCUCCUAAUCAAAAGAGAAGAAGAAAUACUUUCUGCCUUUUACAGGACUUAACAAUCAAGCAAUGAAUCAAGUAUGCUGCAGAGAGAGAAGCUAUAAAAACAGCAAUAUGGAUACAUGUGUAUUAAUAAAAGAUACAUGCAUAUGCAUUUCAAA
Long non-coding RNA from Passer domesticus (house sparrow), 1343 nucleotides. RefSeq lists it as uncharacterized. The record is from RefSeq and is a predicted model, not a curated record. The transcript is spliced from 2 exons. Lineage: Eukaryota; Metazoa; Chordata; Aves; Passeriformes; Passeridae.